AAUUGAUCAGAAAACACCAGAUCCCGUAGUUUCGAUCGCGUUCCCAAAUCUCGAUACCGUGAAAGAAAAUGAGGGGUAGGAGUUACAGUUACAGCCCUUCACCGCCUAGGGAUUACAGCAGACGACGUCGUAGCCCUAGCCCUAGAGGUCGCUAUGGAGGUCGUGGUAGGGAUCUUCCCACCAGUCUCUUGGUUCGCAAUCUUCGCCAUAACUGCAGGCCAGAGGAUUUACGUGGGCCAUUUGGGCAAUUUGGCCCCCUCAAGGACAUCUACUUGCCCAGGGAUUAUUAUACUGGUGUUGAAGACACCAAUGAAGUAAUAAGAGUACUGUGUUGAAGACAACAAUGAAGUAUAUAGAGUCUUGUUAUGAAGAGACCAAUCAAGUAAGUAAGAGUGUUCAAGGUGGUCUUAGUGUACAUGAAGAUGUGAAGAAAGUUGGUUUGAAUACAUUGAGAAGAAGUUGAAGUCUGGUCUUAGUGUACAUGAAGAUGUGAAGAAAGUUGGUUUGAACACAUUGAGAAGAAGUUGAAGUCUUGAAGAAUUUCAACCCAAUUUUAUCCUUGACUCCAACAAGGGAGCCACGUGGCUUUGGAUUUGUUCAGUUUGUAGACCCUGCUGAUGCUGCAGAUGCCAAAUACCAUAUGGAUGGGCAAAUUCUCCUUGGACGGGAAGUAACAGUUGUGUUUGCUGAGGAAAACAGAAAGAAGCCAUCAGAAAUGAGGGCAAGAGAUCGUGUUAGGGGUCGGUCAUAUGAUAGAAGACGGUCUUCCUCUCGUUAUUCUCGUUCACCGCGAUAUGCUCGAACCUACUCUCGAAGUCCUGAUUACUAUUCACCUUCUCCUAGGCGGAGGCGGUACUCAAGGUCAAUUUCACCUAGGGACAGAAGGUACCGGGAGCAAUCACGCUCAAGAUCUCCCUAUGGUUCAAGGAGCCGUAGCCGAAGCUUUAGUAGGAGCCGGAGUCAUAGCUUGGACUACUCUCAGUAGUGGGAUUUUGUAGAGGUGCUUAAUAUGAAAGUUGAAGAAUCUAUGUUUGAAGUUGUGAUCUAAAUAAAUAUUCAGUGAUUCUACUCCCUGGGAUUAAUGUUGACAUUAAAAUUACUGCUGCAUUGUAUUCUGGUUUUCUUUGUUCGACCAUGAGUUGAAUGCCACAUUUGAUCAUGAACAUGUGUCUCUUUGAAGCUUUUAGCUAUGUCCAAUUGGAAUGAGUUUUUGUAU
Molecule: RNA transcript, 1216 nt
Organism: Prunus persica (peach)
Lineage: Eukaryota; Viridiplantae; Streptophyta; Magnoliopsida; Rosales; Rosaceae
Gene name: serine/arginine-rich SC35-like splicing factor SCL33
Exons: 7
Source: RefSeq, a predicted model, not a curated record